RNAcentral lists this microRNA precursor (163 nucleotides) under Oryza brachyantha (malo sina). Its description in RNAcentral is "MIR812 microRNA precursor family". It matches the Rfam family "MIR812 microRNA precursor family", at positions 27 to 187 of the family's 205-position model. Lineage: Eukaryota; Viridiplantae; Streptophyta; Magnoliopsida; Poales; Poaceae. The record is from Rfam by way of RNAcentral.
UACAAUGUUUUGACUCUUCGUCUUAUUCAAAAAUUUUUUGCGAUUAAUAUUUUUAUUGUCGCUAGAUGAUAAAACAUGAAUAGUACUUUAUGAGUGACUAUUUUUUUUAAGUUUUUUAUAAGUUUUUCAAAUAAGACAAAUGGUCCAACGUUGAAUACUGAAA